UCCCUGAUGGUCCAGAGGUUAAGACUCUGUGCUUCCACUGCAGGGGUGUGAGUUCAAUCCCUGGUCAGGGAA
RNAcentral lists this transfer RNA (72 nucleotides) under Ovis aries (sheep). It matches the Rfam family "tRNA". From Rfam's summary of the family: Transfer RNA (tRNA) molecules are approximately 80 nucleotides in length. Their secondary structure includes four short double-helical elements and three loops (D, anti-codon, and T loops). The record is from Rfam by way of RNAcentral. Lineage: Eukaryota; Metazoa; Chordata; Mammalia; Artiodactyla; Bovidae.